Cervus elaphus (red deer) is the source of this 4806-nucleotide long non-coding RNA. RefSeq lists it as uncharacterized. The transcript has 8 exons. The record is from RefSeq and is a predicted model, not a curated record. NCBI's taxonomy places the organism in Eukaryota, Metazoa, Chordata, Mammalia, Artiodactyla, Cervidae.
AUCCUCUUUGCUUUACUGCAUGGGGUACUGUCCACUUAAAGCCCCUCUCUCAAAUAUGUGUAAUGACAAUUACAUUACAGGGGCUUCAUACUCCCUUUAAGAUUCUUAUAUUUGUACAAGGUAUAUGAUUUUAAUUGACCACACCAUGUCCCUUUAACAUUAAUUUACAUAAUUGCAACUUAGUUCAUCUUAUCCUGUUGCCUUCCCUUUCCUUAGCUUGUGAAUGUGCAUUCUUGUGCACUAGACAAGGACGCUCCCUCUCACUUCCUAUGCCUUCCAGUAAGUUUGCCCAUUGCUAAGACCUUUCCAUUUGGACAAUUAAUGUGCAGAGUUGCACUUUCCCAUAACCCUAUUACUUCUAGGACUAUUGUAUCUCCUUUGUAAUAGUGCAGGGGAUACUGUUUCCCUGCCAAGAUCCCUUACUGUUAAUGUACAUAAUAGAAAUUCUUGGCUUUAUCAGUAUACUUCAGUAAUACUCCCUCAGUCAGCUAUCAUGACCUCAGCUCUUGGACAAUUAAUAUGCACCAAUAAUAUAUCAAACGUAUGAUCUUUAGAUCGGAUCCCUGUACCCUCACUAUGGAUCAGGAGUACUGACUUAAGGCUUCUUUUUUUGACUCUGGGUGUGAAUAUUUAUCUAUACACCCUUCUAUUAGAGUAGCACAUCAUUCCCUCAUACUCCCUUUGCAUUACUGCAUGGGCUGCUGAUGACACAAAACUUUUACUGGGACUGCUGAUGAGCACAAUGGCAGUUGGCAAUGGGUUUUUCCUCCCUGGUCUUGUUAGGCAAGCACUCUCAGCUCCAAUUUCUCAUGGUAUAAUAAACUAUAAACACUGCACUGUGCUGUGAACUUGUCCAUCAAAGGGUGACCCACAUUCCCACUCCUUUUGCAUUGGCUCCAAUGUAUCAAAUUCCAAGUAAUCAUGGCCUUGCCCUUAUCUUCCCUCUUCAAACCCCUUGCCUGCCCUUGGACCCUUCUUAUGGAUUUUUAAUGUUCACAAUUUCAGGUGUCCAUCUAUCCAGAUGAGAUUAUGCUCCCUCACCCCUCCCACCCCUGCCCUGCCCAUUUUUCACUGUUGCUGGGAAAUGUUGACUGAGCAAAACUUUUCUCUUGGAUUUACAAUGUUAACAAUCCCAGAUGUCAUUGUUCUGCCCACUUUGAAUUUCUAUAAUUCCCUGUUGCGCUUUCCUUGGUCCCACCCAUCAGUCACGGACUCUUCCAUUUCCUUCUUUGCGUUACUUCUGAAUAGUGCUGACCACCCACAGCCCCUUCUGUGUUAUUAACACAGUAUUGAUUGUCCCAUUUUUUAGCCCAUCAGCCCAAGAUCUCCACACCAUUUUGAUGUUAUAUUUGUGCAGUAUGGACUACCAAAAGCAGACCUGAACUAGGUGACUGGGCUUUCACUCCUUUUCCUGCAUUUGUUAAUGAUCCCAGUUCCGAUUAUUGUCAUACUCUGGGGACAGAACCGUUCCUGAUCCCCUCUGUUACUGCUUUACUAGGCAAAAUGCUCAAGGCAAGUCAGACCCAAGGGAACUGGAUUGCUACCCUUUAUUUUGGGUUUUCAUUAUAUAUAAAUAUCAUUUGAAAAUUGACUUCCCAGGAAGGAAGGUUAGCACUAUCUGUGCAUUCUUCCUUUCAAAGCAGAUUGCCUGGCUAUGUCUCUCCUUUCCUCUUGUAUAUUGCCAUUUUAUAGUGCCAAUUGCCAGGAUACAACCAAAAGGUUUUUUUUUUUUUUUUUUAAUUUUUUAAGAAAGACAUCUGGAUUGCAGGGUGGAAUUGAUAACCUGGUCAUUGAAAUUUUGAAGUCGGUAAACCCAUUUAUAUCAUGUACCUGAUGACCAGUGUCUCUCAUUUUACUAAGGGUGGUGAGUCUGUGGAUAGACUACUGUGACUUUGAUAUUUUAGUAUAUUACCAAAGGAGUUUUAGAGUGGAACUCUUAAGACCAGUGUCUUUGGGCUCUACCACCAUUUUCAAACCAUUCCUUAUUUGGGCUUUACCAGUAUUCACUUCUAGGAAAAACUACCUAAACUUCCUAAUCGUUAAAUUUCUUCAUCUGGAGCUCCAAUUAGUCCGUACUUAUUUCAAGAAGAUUGCUGUAAAAGGAUAAAAUGAGAGAACAUGCUGAGGUGCUUUUGAAAACCAUAGAUCACUUUGUUUGAUUAAUCUAUUACAUUUUAUGUACCCUGUUUAAUUCUGCUAUUUUAAAGUUACCUAAAGCACCACACUGAAGUGAGGACUUAGAAAUGAUGGAACCAGUUUCCCCAUUUUAUAUGAAAAGAAAAAUAAGCCAAGGUCUAAUCAGUCUUUUGGAUAUAAAUUUCAAUAGUGAAAAUGAAUACAAAUGAAUAAUAUCCCAGCCUCUAGUGUAUAAGGUGUUUGGCAGAGAAUUAUUUGAUAUGGAACUGCUGAAGCAAGUAACUAUCACCACAGCAGUUCUUUGUAAUCACUGAAAAAGGAUACUGUUGUCUGAGAAGGAUGUCAAAAGAUCGGCCCAGCUCAGGGUGCAGUUUGCACUACUAGCUCCUUGGACAGCUGUAAGAAGAGUCUCUGGCUCUUUAGAAUACUGGAUGAAUUCUGAGCUGGUUCCCCCCACUCAAGAGGAAGUAUGGAUCAAGUUUAGGUGGAUUGAAGCCUGCACUGGACAGCAUCCAAAGGACAUUCCAAGCAUAUCAAACCUGAGAACUGCAAGCAACUUUAAGAAGCUCCAUAUUCAGCAGGUCUUUCCUUUUGAGAAUCUGGAUAAGCUCCAACCAAUCUAAUAGGAUGGCUUGCAGUUUCCCUGGAGAAAGAGGAGGAAGAAAUUCAGAUCAUUUUCUUCAAGCCUGGCGGGAACCCACAACAGUUCGUGUGUAACAGACGAUCUACCUCAAAAGAAUAGGCCUGUUGCUUUACAGUGUUAGUGACCCAUUCCCUUUGACGAUUCCUAGGUGGAGAUGGGGCAUGAGGAUCCUCCAGGGGAAAGACUCACUACCACUGAGCAACAACUCUAGGCCAUGAGGUUCUACCAAGAUUCUUUCCUGGGCCCAGUUAAGAAGGUGAAGUCUCAAGACAACCACCACACAUCCAGAGGGGAACAUGGAUGAUGACUGACACAUCUGUGACACUGGUCAAAGUCUCCCUUGAGGCCCUGUCGGAGAACUUUGCCAAUCAUUUACAUACUUCAAGAUGCCUUGGGAAAGCUGUGCGACAAAACAAAAAACAAGCUGUUUGAGAAGAUAAAACAGAGAUUUAUCUUUUUAUGCUCUGCCUGAUAAUUGACAGAAGCUUCACAGCUAUGAAUGGGAAUGUGAUUAGAAGUGGCACAAAGUUGUCUAUCAUCAGACUGGAUCUAAAGGACUAGCACACUGUGUACUCUAGCUCCUGGUUGUUUCCUUCAUAUUUGCCAAAUCAUUAUCUUUCCCUGAAGCAGUGCAAAGAGCAAGAAAUGUGAACACACCAAGGAAGAUCAACAUGCCUGGCAUGCUAGCAUUUUAGAAUAGCAAUGUGAAUAUGCUCGUCACUGUAUUUUGUCUCUUCUGUUUCUUACCCUCUUCUACGAAUGUCUGCCCUUGCUUAUCUUUUAAGCUCAUAAGUGUGUAUUUGUUUGCUUGUCUAUUUCUUCUCUGAAUGUCUUUGGUCUUUCUUGUCUAAAGUAUGUCUUACCCAUUUCCAUGAUUCUCUUGCUGGUUUCUUCUCUGUGUAUCUUUGUCUCAUUUACUUUUUCGUACUCAGGAGUGGUCUGUGUCUUGUCUUAGAUGUCUCUCUCUAGUUUUCUUCAUUUUGUUACUGAUUCUCCUUGCUCUGCUAGAUCUAGCUCUUCUUUCACUGUUUUCUUUGAGCCUCUUGGCUUGUGUGUGCCUUUUGCUCAUUUCUUGCUAUGCCUGCCUCUCUUCUUUUUCUCUUUGUGAAUUCUGUCACCUGUUCCCCUUGUUGGUUUGACAUUUCACCUUUUCUGAUACUGGCUACCCUUCUGCUGUUUCUACUCUUUAUCUUGCAUAUUUCUCUUUUCUACAUGUUCUUUGUGUCUUUCUUGGGCCAUUUUCUCUUUUUUUCCCCAUGCUUUGUGUGCCCCAGUGUCUCUUUGUUCUUUGUGAUUUUCAAUUUCAGCAUUCAUCUCUGUUCUCCUGAUUCUUCUCUCCUUUUGCCUUUCUAUUCACUUUUGAGUAUUUCUUGAGUCUAUGUCUCUCCCUCUUUGAUUUCAUGCAAUUCUCUCUCCUGCAUGUUUUUUUGUGCAUGUGUGUGUGUACUCUUGUGUGUGUUUGUAAAGGGGUCUCCUAACCCCUUCCAGUAGGUGCAGAGUGUCAGCUAUCAAAAUAAACAUUGCAGAGCUGUUCCUUAUGCCAGACCGCCCUGUGAGAUGAUCCAAAACCAACAGAAGGUCCAAAUGUCUAGACUGGAGUUGGACUGAAGACUCAAGUCUCAGUGAGACAGAAGGCCAAAGACUCAGGAUGGGAUUAAAAAACCUUGACUUGAAGACCUGUGACCCAAAAGAUGGAAGUACCCAAGCACACAUAAAGACCCAGGACUCAAACCUAUCUAUAUAAGACAGAAGGCCCAAGAGAGACAGAUAUUUCAAGAAUAAAUUACAUGGGAAACUGGAGGUUCAUGACAGAGAUACCAGGAAGGAAAGAAGCCCCAGGACCAAAGGAAAUUCCAAGAUGAGAAUCUUAAACCCCAGCUCUUCUCUAUUGCUCUUUUCCUUACUCUUGGACAUUUUUAGUUCUCCCUUCCUUCUUCUCAUGUCUCCAUUUAAAUCUACUUCUUUUGAAAUAUCCUUUUUGAUGUUGCUGUUACCUUUUAAAAAAAAACAUAUCUUUAGAUCAGUAA